AGGCAAGCUAGAUUGGGGGGUUAGCCGUCCCCUGUAACCAUAAACCGGCUUUACGGUGGGAUCGAAGCUCAGGGAGCGGCAUUUUGCAUGAAUGCCAGGUCCUGGUCUGGACAAUGAAGUGCUGUCCUGCAGGGCUUCUGUUUAUAAGAACCAUGUCAGGUCAGGGAUGAAGCAGCAUUAAUUAUAUUCAAGGGCGCUUACAGGGUCGCAGUGCCAAGAAAGGACUAGGGUUGCCUGCAUUUUUGCAUAUGUCCAUCUUUGGGCAUGCUUGCCU
RNAcentral lists this signal recognition particle RNA (274 nucleotides) under Candidatus Woesearchaeota archaeon. RNAcentral's name for it is "signal recognition particle sRNA". It matches the Rfam family "Archaeal signal recognition particle RNA". The record is from RNAcentral. Lineage: Archaea; Nanobdellati; Candidatus Woesearchaeota.